Molecule: transfer RNA, 72 nt
Filed under: Ailuropoda melanoleuca (giant panda)
Lineage: Eukaryota; Metazoa; Chordata; Mammalia; Carnivora; Ursidae
Rfam family: tRNA
About the family: Transfer RNA (tRNA) molecules are approximately 80 nucleotides in length. Their secondary structure includes four short double-helical elements and three loops (D, anti-codon, and T loops). Further hydrogen bonds mediate the characteristic L-shaped molecular structure. tRNAs have two regions of fundamental functional importance: the anti-codon, which is responsible for specific mRNA codon recognition, and the 3' end, to which the tRNAs corresponding amino acid is attached (by aminoacyl-tRNA synthetases). tRNAs cope with the degeneracy of the genetic code in two manners: having more than one tRNA (with a specific anti-codon) for a particular amino acid; and 'wobble' base-pairing, i.e. permitting non-standard base-pairing at the 3rd anti-codon position.
Source: Rfam by way of RNAcentral
GCCUGGCUGGCUCAGUCAGUAGAGCAUGUGGCUCUCGAUCUCAGGGUUGUGGGUUCGAGCCCCAUGUUGGUG